Molecule: ribosomal RNA, 253 nt
Filed under: uncultured bacterium
Lineage: Bacteria
Also listed under: 1 other name
Description: partial 16S ribosomal RNA
Rfam family: Bacterial small subunit ribosomal RNA
Source: RNAcentral
UACGUAGGUGGCAAGCGUUAUCCGGAUUUACUGGGUGUAAAGGGCGUGUAGGCGGGUCUGCAAGUCAGAUGUGAAAUCUCCGGGCUUAACUCGGAAGUGUCAUCUGAAACUACGGAUCUUGAGUACUGGAGAGGAUAGUGGAAUUCCUAGUGUAGCGGUAAAAUGCGUAGAUAUUAGGAGGAACACCAGUGGCGAAGGCGGCUAUCUGGACAGUAACUGACGCUGAGGCGCGAAAGCGUGGGGAGCAAACAGG